GACGAACGCUGGCGGCGUGCUUAACACAUGCAAGUCGAACGGAAAGGCCCUGCUUUUGUGGGGUGCUCGAGUGGCGAACGGGUGAGUAACACGUGAGUAACCUGCCCUUGACUUUGGGAUAACUUCAGGAAACUGGGGCUAAUACCGGAUAGGAGCUCCUGCUGCAUGGUGGGGGUUGGAAAGUUUCGGCGGUUGGGGAUUGAAUCGAGGCUUAUCCGCUUGUUGGUGGGGUAGUGGCUGACCAAGGCUUUGACGGGUAGCCGGCCUGAGAGGGUGACCGGCCACAUUGGGACUGAGAGACGGCCCAGACUCCUACGGGAGGCAGCAGUGGGGAAUAUUGCACAAUGGGCGGAAGCCUGAUGCGGCAACGCCGCGUGCGGGAUGACGGCCUUCGGGUUGUAAACCGCUUUCGCCUGUGACGAAGCGUGAGUGACGGUAAUGGGUAAAGAAGCACCGGCUAACUACGUG
This 468-nucleotide ribosomal RNA is filed under the name uncultured bacterium. RNAcentral's name for it is "partial 16S ribosomal RNA". It matches the Rfam family "Bacterial small subunit ribosomal RNA", at positions 28 to 507 of the family's 1533-position model. The record is from RNAcentral.